RNAcentral lists this ribosomal RNA (457 nucleotides) under Escherichia coli. RNAcentral's name for it is "bacterial SSU rRNA". It matches the Rfam family "Bacterial small subunit ribosomal RNA", at positions 1 to 454 of the family's 1533-position model. Lineage: Bacteria; Pseudomonadati; Pseudomonadota; Gammaproteobacteria; Enterobacterales; Enterobacteriaceae. The record is from RNAcentral.
AAAUUGAAGAGUUUGAUCAUGGCUCAGAUUGAACGCUGGCGGCAGGCCUAACACAUGCAAGUCGAACGGUAACAGGAAGAAGCUUGCUUCUUUGCUGACGAGUGGCGGACGGGUGAGUAAUGUCUGGGAAACUGCCUGAUGGAGGGGGAUAACUACUGGAAACGGUAGCUAAUACCGCAUAACGUCGCAAGACCAAAGAGGGGGACCUUCGGGCCUCUUGCCAUCGGAUGUGCCCAGAUGGGAUUAGCUAGUAGGUGGGGUAACGGCUCACCUAGGCGACGAUCCCUAGCUGGUCUGAGAGGAUGACCAGCCACACUGGAACUGAGACACGGUCCAGACUCCUACGGGAGGCAGCAGUGGGGAAUAUUGCACAAUGGGCGCAAGCCUGAUGCAGCCAUGCCGCGUGUAUGAAGAAGGCCUUCGGGUUGUAAAGUACUUUCAGCGGGGAGGAAGGGAG